This 17-nucleotide small RNA is filed under the name Arabidopsis thaliana (thale cress). RNAcentral's name for it is "ATSL304220". The record is from RNAcentral. Lineage: Eukaryota; Viridiplantae; Streptophyta; Magnoliopsida; Brassicales; Brassicaceae.
AAAAUCUAAUCUCAAAC